AGUAAGAUAAGCUAAUCAAGCUGUUGGGCCCAUACCCCAAUCAUKYMGGUGAAACCCCUGCUUUUACUG
Molecule: transfer RNA, 69 nt
Filed under: Bothus myriaster (Indo-Pacific oval flounder)
Lineage: Eukaryota; Metazoa; Chordata; Actinopteri; Pleuronectiformes; Bothidae
Description: tRNA-Met
Source: RNAcentral